AAUACCUAACUGUCUUAAACUAUAAUGUUGGUAUUCACGUUUCAAAGUAUUUUUCCGGAAAUUGGACCUCCCCCUGCUCGUGUUAUUGUAGUUGAAGUAUUAUCAGUGUUGUGUAAUACUAUAUUAUAUUUAUUAUACGGAGAAGUAAUAUUAAGACUUAUACGUUCCUAAAGUUUAUUGGACUCGUCGAUCCGAUGCCAGCAGAUUCCGUGGAAAAACAAUAAGCCGGUCGUAGGUCCCUUUGUCAGUUUGUCAAAGAGGUUUGUAUCGUGAUCAAAUCAAUUAUACGCAAAAUAUUGUUUCUAUGUAUUGGUGAUCAUAAACCAGCUAUGGAAGAUAUUAAAUUUAUUUUUUUUUGAAAAAAUGUUUGAUUUGAACAUUUCGAAAAUAUAGACUAAUUGCGCUGUGUUGUAUCUCUUGUACUUAUUUAUUUACAUGGUGUCUAACAAAGUUUAUACCCAUUGUGAUAUCA
This is a non-coding RNA of Cinara cedri, 472 nucleotides long. NCBI's taxonomy places the organism in Eukaryota, Metazoa, Arthropoda, Insecta, Hemiptera, Aphididae. The record is from the annotation of a GenBank genome assembly.